Molecule: non-coding RNA, 50 nt
Filed under: Sphingobium sp.
Lineage: Bacteria; Pseudomonadati; Pseudomonadota; Alphaproteobacteria; Sphingomonadales; Sphingobiaceae
Description: Guanidine-II sequence
Rfam family: Guanidine-II riboswitch aptamer (mini-ykkC)
About the family: Simpler in structure and has fewer highly conserved nucleotide positions than the ykkC-yxkD leader. Despite this each of its two stem-loop structures directly bind free guanidine. Therefore, mini-ykkC RNA motif represents a distinct class of guanidine-sensing RNAs.
Source: RNAcentral
CGGCGAGGACGACCUCGACCCCUGUGGGCAAUGUAUCCGGGACGGCCCGG